This 503-nucleotide ribosomal RNA is filed under the name Phoma herbarum. Its description in RNAcentral is "eukaryotic LSU rRNA". The stretch from base 140 to 293 matches the Rfam family "5.8S ribosomal RNA". Lineage: Eukaryota; Fungi; Ascomycota; Dothideomycetes; Pleosporales; Didymellaceae. The record is from RNAcentral.
UUCGAAGUGUGGCUUUGCCUGCUAUCUCUUACCCAUGUCUUUUGAGUACCUUACGUUUCCUCGGUGGGUUCGCCCACCGAUUGGACAAAUUUAAACCCUUUGCAGUUGAAAUCAGCGUCUGAAAAAACUUAAUAGUUACAACUUUCAACAACGGAUCUCUUGGUUCUGGCAUCGAUGAAGAACGCAGCGAAAUGCGAUAAGUAGUGUGAAUUGCAGAAUUCAGUGAAUCAUCGAAUCUUUGAACGCACAUUGCGCCCCUUGGUAUUCCAUGGGGCAUGCCUGUUCGAGCGUCAUUUGUACCUUCAAGCUCUGCUUGGUGUUGGGUGUUUGUCUCCUGUAGACUCGCCUUAAAACAAUUGGCAGCCGGCGUAUUGAUUUCGGAGCGCAGUACAUCUCGCGCUUUGCACUCAUAACGACGACAUCCAAAAGUACAUUUUUACACUCUUGACCUCGGAUCAUGUAGGGAUACCCGCUGAACUUAAGCAUAUCUAUAAGCGGAGGAA